UUGGAGGGCAAGUCUGGUGCCUGCAGCCGCGGUAAUUCCAGCUCCAAUAGCGUAUAUUAAAGUUGUUGCAGUUAAAAAGCUCGUAGUUGAAUUUCGGGAUUAGUACGUUGGUCGUGCCUUAGGUACGUACUGGUGUUACUGGUUCCUACCUUCUGACGAACCAUCAUGUCAUUAAUUUGGUGUGGCGGGGAAUCAGGACUGUUACUUUGAAAAAAUUAGAGUGUUUAAAGCAGGCUCGCGCUUGAAUACAUUAGCAUGGAAUAAUGAAAUAGGACGUUGACCCUAUUUUGUUGGUUUCUAGGAUUGACGUAAUGAUUAAUAGGGAUAGUUGGGGGCAUUAGUAUUCAAUUGUCAGAGGUGAAAUUCUUGGAUUUAUUGAAGACUAACUACUGCGAAAGCAUUUGCCAAGGAUGUUUUCAUUAAUCAAGAACGAAAGUUAGGGGAUCGAAGACGAUCAGAUACCGUCGUAGUCUUAACCAUAAACUAUGCCGACUAGGGAUCGGAUGAUGUUAAUUUUUUAAUGACUCAUUCGGCGCCUUACGGGAAAC
RNAcentral lists this ribosomal RNA (548 nucleotides) under uncultured Glomeromycotina. RNAcentral's name for it is "SSU rRNA". It matches the Rfam family "Eukaryotic small subunit ribosomal RNA", at positions 548 to 1098 of the family's 1831-position model. The record is from RNAcentral. Lineage: Eukaryota; Fungi; Glomeromycota.